This 372-nucleotide ribosomal RNA is filed under the name Triticum aestivum (bread wheat). RNAcentral's name for it is "partial small subunit ribosomal RNA". The record is from RNAcentral. Lineage: Eukaryota; Viridiplantae; Streptophyta; Magnoliopsida; Poales; Poaceae.
AUGCUGCCGGAUUACAUUACGCACGCACGCACGCCACGCCAUGCAGUAAUCAAUCGGCUCAUAAACCCCCUCCUACUCCUCCUCCUCCUGAACCCCACCGUCCCAUCUGCUCCUUUCACACAGAUCCGCAGGCCGAUUUUCUCCUCCGGAGGCCGCCCGGCGAGGAUGCAAGCCACCACGGCGGCGGCGGCGGCGGCGCAGCUGCUAACAGAUACGAGGAGAGGGCCCAGAUGUAGGGCUCGGCCGGGAACGACGACGAAAUUAUCCUGGCCAGGUCGAUUUGCAGUGGAAGCUUUUGCAGGCCAGUGCCAAAGCAGUGCUGCUACUGUCACGCAUAGAUUCAGUGCCAUUUCUCAAGCUACUAGCCCUUGA